UACGUAGGGGGCUAGCGUUGUCCGGAAUCAUUGGGCGUAAAGAGCGUGUAGGCGGCCCGGUAAGUCCGCUGUGAAAGUCGGGGGCUCAACCCUCGAAUGCCGGUGGAUACUGUCGGGCUAGAGUGCGGAAGAGGCGAGUGGAAUUCCUGGUGUAGCGGUGAAAUGCGCAGAUAUCAGGAGGAACACCGAUGGCGAAGGCAGGUCUCUGGGCAUUAACUGACGCUGAGGAGCGAAAGCGUGGGGAGCGAACAGG
This 253-nucleotide ribosomal RNA is filed under the name uncultured bacterium. RNAcentral's name for it is "partial 16S ribosomal RNA". It matches the Rfam family "Bacterial small subunit ribosomal RNA", at positions 524 to 776 of the family's 1533-position model. The record is from RNAcentral.